UUAAUAUUUAUUUAUUUAUGUAUAUAUAUAUAUAUAUAAUUAUUAAAAAUAAUUAUAAAAUUAAUUGUUUUAGUAUUUUAUAAAUAAAAAAUAAUUUUAAUAAUAGUUUAUUAGUAUUGUGAAAGAAAAUUGAAAUAAUUUGAAAAAUUUUUAUUUGUAAAGUAAAUUUUAUUUAUUGUAUCUUGUGUAUCAGAGUUUAUUAAAUAAUUAAAUAUAUAUAUUAUUUUUCUCGAUUUUAAAAGAUUUAAUAAAUUAAAAAAUAUAAUGUAAUAAAAUUAUUUUUAAUAAUUUAUUAGAAAUGAAAUGUUAUUCGUUUUUAAAGGUAUCUAGUUUUUAAAGAAAUAAAUUCAAUUUAGUAUUUAAAAUUUAUUAAUUUAAUUUAUAUAAUUUAAUAAUUUUUAAAUAAUAAUAUUUUAUGGGAUAAGCUAUAAAAUAAAUUUUUAUAAAUAAUAAAUAAGAUGUUUAAAUUAAAUAUGUUUAGAAUUAUCAAUUUUUUUUAAGUUUGUUAUAAAUUAAUUUUGUAAUUAAAUUAUUUAUUUUAUUUUAAGUUUUUAUUUAAAUAUUUAUUUUAAUAAAAAAAAUAAAGUAAUAAUGAUAAAAUUAGUAUAUAUAUAUGUUUUUUUUUGAAAAAAUGAUAAGUUAUAAUAAAGAAUUCGGCAAAAAUAAUGUUCGCCUGUUUAACAAAAACAUGUCUUUUAGAAUUUAAUUUAAAGUCUAACCUGCCCACUGAAUUUUAAAUGGCCGCAGUAUUUUGACUGUGCAAAGGUAGCAUAAUCAUUAGUCUUUUAAUUGUAGGCUAGAAUGAAUGGUUGGACGUAAUAUUAACUGUUUCAUUAUAAAUUAAAAUAGAAUUUAAUUUUUUAGUUAAAAAGCUAAAAUAAAUUUAAAAGACGAGAAGACCCUAUAAAUCUUUAUAUAUUUAAAAAUAUUAUUUUUAAAAGGUAAUUUUUUAUAAUAUUUUUAAAUAUAUUUUAUUGGGGUGAUAGUAAAAUUUAAAAAACUUUUAAUAAUAAAAUCAUUUAUUUAUGAAUGAUUGAUCCAUUUUUAGUGAUUAAAAAAUUAAGUUACUUUAGGGAUAACAGCGUAAUUUUUUUGGAGAGUUCAUAUUGAUAAAAAAGAUUGCGACCUCGAUGUUGGAUUAAGAUAUAACUUUAGGUGCAGCAGUUUAAAGUUUAAGUCUGUUCGACUUUUUAAAUCUUACAUGAUCUGAGUUCAAACCGGUGUAAGCCAGGUUGGUUUCUAUCUUUAAAAUUUUAAUAUAUUUUAGUACGAAAGGAUUAAAUAUAUAAAUAAUAAUAUUUUAUAAUUAGAAUAUAAAUAAUUUAU
Molecule: ribosomal RNA, 1326 nt
Filed under: Graptomyza semicircularia
Lineage: Eukaryota; Metazoa; Arthropoda; Insecta; Diptera; Syrphidae
Description: 16S ribosomal RNA
Source: RNAcentral